GAGACAUCGAACUUUGUGACGGCGCCAUGGACACGCCCUUUAACGAAAACUCAAGAUCUUCACAAUUUAACAUCGCACAGGCCUUUAGAAUAGAGUGACUGAAAAAAAAACAUUUAUGUCAUAAAAUUUCUCGGGGUAGUUUGUUACAGUGUAAAAUAUGUCACUUCCUGUUGCCAGUAGGUGGCGCUAUGACUAUAACUGAAUAUGGGCAUAUCAAUCUGUUCAGGUCAGGAGUCUUAUCAAACAUGUGAAGUUUGUGGCAGAUUGGACAUUGUAUGUCUGAGUUAUAGCAACUUCAUUUUUCAUGGCGAAUCAUCGAAAUUCGUCAGGCCGCCACGGACACGCCCUUCAACGAAAACUCAAGAUCUUCGCAAUUUAACAUCGCAAAGGCCUUUAGAUUAGGCAUACCAAAUUUGGUGUUGAUCUGAAUAAAUCUCUAGGAGGAGUUCG
Molecule: long non-coding RNA, 450 nt
Organism: Cyprinus carpio carpio
Lineage: Eukaryota; Metazoa; Chordata; Actinopteri; Cypriniformes; Cyprinidae
Source: Ensembl